UUCCCAGCAUCCCCUAGGCCACUUCUCUCACUACAAACCUCAGUCUCAAGCCACUUGGUUGUCAUGGAAACAGGCGGAAUAGAACAGAUGGUCUCCACUAGCCAAAUUCCAAUUAAACAGGGCAGAGAUGGAUGGAGAAAGGGGGUGUAUGCGACUAGGCCACAGAGGGCUCUGCCCCCCAACCCAGCCUGCCCGCCCUGGGCUCCCCGAGGAUGCACAGGAAGCCCCCGAUCCCUUCCGGCAGACCAGGGACUGGGGUCAGAAGGACGUUCUGGGAGGUCUCAAGGAACUGUUCUGGCACCCAUCGGGUGGGAUAGCACCAAGGAUCCGGAUGGAGGAAGAGGCCUGGAAACCCACACGGGCCAACAGCAAGUUUUCUAGCAGUUGGAGAUGAAAAUGUCGCCCCAAAGCCCGAGCUCAAGGACGCGUGGCCCCCUCUCCUCCUCACCCUGAACCUCCAAUCCUGUUUCCACUUGGGGAGUCACCUGGCCUUCAAGUGCCCCCUGAGGCACAUUAGCCUUUCAAUAAAGCCUUUAACCUCUG
This is a long non-coding RNA of Prionailurus viverrinus (fishing cat), 543 nucleotides long. RefSeq lists it as uncharacterized. The record is from RefSeq and is a predicted model, not a curated record. The transcript has 2 exons. NCBI's taxonomy places the organism in Eukaryota, Metazoa, Chordata, Mammalia, Carnivora, Felidae.